AUGAUAAAAACGUUGACCCGGU
RNAcentral lists this small nuclear RNA (22 nucleotides) under Arabidopsis thaliana (thale cress). RNAcentral describes it as "snRNA_08016". The record is from RNAcentral. Lineage: Eukaryota; Viridiplantae; Streptophyta; Magnoliopsida; Brassicales; Brassicaceae.